UCGAGGGGCAUCGCGGGGUAGCAAUACUCUGGCGGCGACCGGCAAAGGGGUGCGGAACACGUACAGAACCUUCCUUUAAGUGGGGGAUAGCCCGGAGAAAUCCGGAUUAAUACCCCGUAAUAUUAUUGAGUGGCAUCAUUUGAUAAUUAUAGAUUUAUCGCUUAGAGAUGGCUGUGCGUCUGAUUAGGUAGUUGGUGGAGGUAACGGCUCACCAAGCCUUCGAUCAGUAACUGGUGUGAGAGCACGACCAGUCACACGGGCACUGAGACACGGGCCCGACUCCUACGGGAGGCAGCAGUAAGGAAUAUUGGUCAAUGGACGCAAGUCUGAACCAGCCAUGCCGCGUGAAGGAUGAAGGCCCUCUGGGUUGUAAACUUCUUUUAUUUGGGAAGAAACCACUUUUUUUUAAGGGUGUUGACGGUACCAGAGGAAUAAGCACCGGCUAACUCCGUGCCAGCAGCCGCGGUAAUACGGAGGGUGCAAGCGUUAUCCGGAUUCACUGGGUUUAAAGGGUGCGUAGGUGGGCUUGUAAGUCAGUGGUGAAAUCUCCGUGCUUAACAUGGAAACUGCCAUUGAUACUAUAGGUCUUGAAUUUUCUGGAGGUUAGCGGAAUAUGUCAUGUAGCGGUGAAAUGCUUAGAUAUGACAUAGAACACCAAUUGCGAAGGCAGCUAGCUACA
This 679-nucleotide ribosomal RNA is filed under the name uncultured Saprospiraceae bacterium. Its description in RNAcentral is "bacterial SSU rRNA". It matches the Rfam family "Bacterial small subunit ribosomal RNA", at positions 62 to 733 of the family's 1533-position model. The record is from RNAcentral. Lineage: Bacteria; Pseudomonadati; Bacteroidota; Saprospiria; Saprospirales; Saprospiraceae.